This 478-nucleotide ribosomal RNA is filed under the name uncultured bacterium. RNAcentral's name for it is "bacterial SSU rRNA". It matches the Rfam family "Bacterial small subunit ribosomal RNA", at positions 28 to 521 of the family's 1533-position model. The record is from RNAcentral.
GACGAACGCUGGCGGCGUGCCUAACACAUGCAAGUCGAGCGAGUGAAUCUCCUUCGGGAGUGAAGCUAGCGGCGGACGGGUGAGUAACACGUGGGCAACCUGCCUCAUAGAGGGGAAUAGCCUUCCGAAAGGAAGAUUAAUACCGCAUAAGAUUGUAGCUUCGCAUGAAGUAGCAAUUAAAGGAGCAAUCCGCUAUGAGAUGGGCCCGCGGCGCAUUAGCUAGUUGGUGAGGUAACGGCUCACCAAGGCGACGAUGCGUAGCCGACCUGAGAGGGUGAUCGGCCACAUUGGGACUGAGACACGGCCCAGACUCCUACGGGAGGCAGCAGUGGGGAAUAUUGCACAAUGGGGGAAACCCUGAUGCAGCAACGCCGCGUGAGUGAUGACGGCCUUCGGGUUGUAAAGCUCUGUCUUCAGGGACGAUAAUGACGGUACCUGAGGAGGAAGCCACGGCUAACUACGUGCCAGCAGCCGCGGU